This 127-nucleotide small RNA is filed under the name Marmota monax (woodchuck). The record is from RNAcentral. Lineage: Eukaryota; Metazoa; Chordata; Mammalia; Rodentia; Sciuridae.
GCCAGGUGCGGUGGCACACACCUGUAAUCCCAGUGGCUCAGGAGGCUGAGGCAGGAGGAUUGCAAAUUCAAAGUCAGCCUCAGCAAUUUAGCGAGGCCCUGAGCAACUUAGCAAGAUCCUGUCUUAA